This 496-nucleotide ribosomal RNA is filed under the name uncultured Glomeromycotina. Its description in RNAcentral is "partial small subunit ribosomal RNA". It matches the Rfam family "Eukaryotic small subunit ribosomal RNA", at positions 591 to 1092 of the family's 1831-position model. The record is from RNAcentral. Lineage: Eukaryota; Fungi; Glomeromycota.
CCAAUAGCGUAUAUUAAAGUUGUUGCAGUUAAAAAGCUCGUAGUUGAAUUUCGGGGUUCUACCGUUGGUCGGGCAAUUGUCUGUACUGGCGUGUGGAAUUUCUACCUUCUGGGGAACCAUCAUGUUAUUAAUUUAGCGUGGUGGGAAACCAGGACCUUUACCUUGAAAAAAUUAGAGUGUUCAAAGCAGGCUUACGUCUGAAUACAUUAGCAUGGAAUAAUAAAAUAGGACGGUGGUCCUGUUUUGUUGGUUUCUGAAUCACCGUAAUGAUGAAUAGGGAUAGUUGGGGGCAUUAGUAUUCAAUUGUCAGAGGUGAAAUUCUUGGAUUUAUUGAAGACUAACUUCUGCGAAAGCAUUUGCCAAGGAUGUUUUCAUUAAUCAAGAACGAAAGUUAGGGGAUCGAAGACGAUCAGAUACCGUCGUAGUCUUAACCAUAAACUAUGCCGACUAGGGAUCGGACGAUGUUAAUUUUUCUUGACUCGUUCGGCGCCUUACG